CCUGGAGAUUUUCUCCUGGACCACAACCACAUAUACAUUUCAAAGGCUUCUAAUCUCAACUGAGCACUAGAAGAAGAGGCUAACAGCAAACUGGGGAGUACAAUGGCACUGAAAUUUAACCCGCUGCUCCAGAGCCCAAACCUGCAUGAGCCUCUCUAGCCGUUGGUCCAGAUGUGUAUUGCAGAGGGGUUGUUAACCAGAGAACUGUGUUAUCUCAGUAUGAAGAUGCCCACUGUAGCUCACUAGAGCAUGCAGUGACACUAGCAUCUACCCGUUGCUUCAGCUAGCUGGAGUGGAUGAAGUGUAACCACUGGGAUUGCCCUGACUGACCCGGUGUGAUGGAUUGCAUAACACUGAGAUGGGAGAAAUCGCUUCCAAAAGCUUGGUACCUUUGUACUAUGUUCUGCUGCAUCCCUACUGGUUGCAACAGCCACUUGCUUGCAGUAUUUGUCUUUUCGUAUGAAAUGGGUUCCCUUCUGUUUAGCCCAGGACUAGGCUUGCUCUUCAGCAGAGAGAACUUUGCUAAUCCUGCUUAAAUCCUCUCUAAAGCUAUUCUGCUGCAGAAAUCAGAAGAAAUGUUUUGCAGCUGUUAAAGGAUCAGUGAUAUAUGUGGCCAGGCAGCAUGCUCAGGCUACUGGAGAAGAGCAAGGUGCUGCCCGAGGCAGAAGGAGAAGUGUCCCAGUGACUGGGGAAGGAGCAGCUGCGGGCAGAAUGGCAUGGUGAUGGGCUUUGAUGAGUCUCUCAGACUACAAAGGAAUCUGGAAGGAUUUGAUAGCUGAGCCUUUUCUUGUCGCAAGAACAAAGGUUGUGUCAUCUCCCGAAAGCCACCAGGAGCAGAGAUGGGCAGGGCGAGCAAGCCCAGGCUGGGGCUCUGCUGCGCGGCUGCUGGAAAUGGGGUCUUCAAGGAAAAAGGGUAAGGAAACCCAGGCUUAUAAGGAAAAGAAAGUGAUGUGCCUGGGGGUGAGGAUGCCCCCAGCCUUUUUGGGUUAUAUGUUUUGGAGUCAAAAAUCCUCUGAGCUGUGUGGGAGGGAGCAAUAUGGAAGAGACCCUCCUGGUGCUCAGGGCUCAUGUCAAGUUGGACAACCAGAAACCUUCAGGAGUCUUGGUUUUUGA
This 1113-nucleotide long non-coding RNA is filed under the name Anser brachyrhynchus (Pink-footed goose). RNAcentral describes it as "lncRNA (ENSABRG00000014343.1)". The record is from RNAcentral. Lineage: Eukaryota; Metazoa; Chordata; Aves; Anseriformes; Anatidae.